GAUGAACGCUGGCGGCGUGCCUAAUACAUGCAAGUCGAGCGAACAGAUGAGGAGCUUGCUCCGCUGACGUUAGCGGAGGACGGGUGAGUAACACGUGGAUAACCUACCUAUAAGACUGGGAUAACUUCGGGAAACGGGAGCAAAUACCGUAUAAUAUAUUGAACCGCAGGGGUCAAUAGUAAAAGACGGUGUUGGGGGAAGGUAUAGAUGGAUCCGCGCCGCAUUAGCUAGUUGGUAAGGUAACGGCUUACCAAGGCUACGAUGCGUAGCCGAGCUGUGGGGGUGAUCGGCCACACUGGAACUUGGCCGCGCUCCUGACUCCUACGGGAGGGCGCAGUAUGCAAUCUGCCGCAAUGGGCGAAAGCCUGACGGAGCAACGCCACGUGAGUUAUGACGGUCUUCGGAUCGUAAAACUCUGUUAUUAGUGAAGAACCACUUUGUACGUAACUAUGCACUUCUUGACGGUACCUAAUCAGAAAGCCACGGCUAACUACGUG
Molecule: ribosomal RNA, 497 nt
Filed under: uncultured bacterium
Lineage: Bacteria
Description: partial 16S ribosomal RNA
Rfam family: Bacterial small subunit ribosomal RNA
Source: RNAcentral